UGCCUUCUUGGGACUGCCGA
Molecule: unclassified non-coding RNA, 20 nt
Filed under: Mus musculus (house mouse)
Lineage: Eukaryota; Metazoa; Chordata; Mammalia; Rodentia; Muridae
Description: oocyte_clustered_small_RNA4064
Source: RNAcentral